GAUGAAGAACGUAGCGAAAUGCGAUAAGUAAUGUGAAUUGCAGAAUUCAGUGAAUCAUCGAAUCUUUGAACGCACCUUGCGCCCUUUGGCCAUUCCGAAGGGCAUGCCUGUUUGAGUAUCAUGAACACCUCAACUCUUUAUGGUUUUCCAUGAUGAGCUUGGACUCUGGGGGUUUUGCUGGCUCACAGUCGGCUCCUCUAAAAUGAAUCAGCUUACCAGUGUUUGGUGGGUAUCAUGGGUGUGAUAACUAUCUACGCUUGUGGUUUUUCCACCAGGUAACCUUCAGCAGUGGAGGUUCGCUGGAGCUCAUAGAUGUCUCUCCUCAGUGAGGACAGCCCUUUGAAUGUUUGAUCUCAAAUCAGGUAGGACUACCCGCUGAACUUAAGCAUAUCAAAAGCGGAGGA
Molecule: unclassified non-coding RNA, 404 nt
Filed under: soil metagenome
Description: partial contains 5.8S ribosomal RNA, internal transcribed spacer 2, and large subunit ribosomal RNA
Rfam family: 5.8S ribosomal RNA (bases 1-121)
Source: RNAcentral